RNAcentral lists this ribosomal RNA (881 nucleotides) under Howardula sp. 202 #3 JPD-2022. RNAcentral's name for it is "SSU rRNA". It matches the Rfam family "Eukaryotic small subunit ribosomal RNA", at positions 117 to 1001 of the family's 1831-position model. The record is from RNAcentral. Lineage: Eukaryota; Metazoa; Nematoda; Chromadorea; Rhabditida; Allantonematidae.
CUACUUGAUCUUGACGUAUCUUACUUGGAUAACUGUGGUAAUUCUAGAGCUAAUACAUGCACCAAAGCUCUGACCUUGCGGAAAGAGUGCAUUUAUUAGAGCAAAACCAAGCGACUUCGGUCGUUUAAUGCUGACUCAGAAUAACUCAGCUGAUCGUACGGUCUUUGAACCGGCGACGUGUCUUUUGAGUAUCUGCCUUAUCAAUUUUCGAUGGUAGUGUAUCUGACUACCAUGGUGUUGACGGGUAACGGAGAAUAAGGGUUCGACUCCGGAGAAGGGGCCUGAGAAAUGGCCACUACGUCUAAGGAUGGCAGCAGGCGCGCAAAUUACCCACUCUCAGUACGAGGAGGUAGUGACGAGAAAUAACGAGACCGUUCUCUUAGAGGCCGGUUAUCGGAAUGGGUACAAUUUAAACCCUUUAACGAGUAUCUAUGAGAGGGCAAGUCUGGUGCCAGCAGCCGCGGUAAUUCCAGCUCUCAAAAUGCAUAGAACCAUUGCUGCGGUUAAAAAGCUCGUAGUUGAAUCUUUGCCAGAGACUUGGUCGACUCCUUUGAGCGCGUACUAAGUUCUUUGGCUUUUACCGUCGGUUUUCUUGUUGUCGCCUUUAUUGGUGGUGGCAAGUGGCUGACAAUUUUACUUUGAACAAAUCAGAGUGCUCAACACAGGCGUUUUGCUUGUAUGCUUUUGCAUGGAAUAAUAGAAUAUGACUAUGGUCUAGUUUUAUUGGUUUUAUAGAUCGUUGUAAUGAUUAAAAGAGACAAACGGGGGCAUUCGUAUUGUUGCGUGAGAGGUGAAAUUCUUGGACCGCAGCAAGACGACCUACAGCGAAAGCAUUUGCCAAGCUUGUCUUCAUUAAUCAAGAACGAAAGUCAGAGGAUCGA